GAUGAACGCUAGCUACAGGCUUAACAUAUGCAAGUCGAGGGGUAACGAGAGGAAAGCUUGCUUUCCUUGUCGACGACCGGCGCACGGGUGAGUAACGCGUAUCCAACCUGCCCCCAACUAGGGAAUAACCUUGCGAAAGUAAGACUAAUACCCUAUAAUUUCCUCAGAUGUCAUCUGACGAGGAAUAAAGAUUUAUCGGUUGUGGAUGGGGAUGCGUCUGAUUAGCUUGUUGGCGGGGUAACGGCCCACCAAGGCAACGAUCAGUAGGGGCUCUGAGAGGAAGGUCCCCCACAUUGGAACUGAGACACGGUCCAAACUCCUACGGGAGGCAGCAGUGAGGAAUAUUGGUCAAUGGGCGGAAGCCUGAACCAGCCAAGUAGCGUGCAGGAUGACGGCCCUAUGGGUUGUAAACUGCUUUUAUACAGGAAUAAAGUUAGCCACGUGUGGUUAUUUGUAGGUACUGUAUGAAUAAGGACCGGCUAAUUCCGUGCCAGCCGCCGCUGUAA
RNAcentral lists this ribosomal RNA (506 nucleotides) under uncultured bacterium. RNAcentral describes it as "partial 16S ribosomal RNA". It matches the Rfam family "Bacterial small subunit ribosomal RNA", at positions 28 to 523 of the family's 1533-position model. The record is from RNAcentral.